Molecule: ribosomal RNA, 460 nt
Filed under: uncultured bacterium
Lineage: Bacteria
Description: partial 16S ribosomal RNA
Rfam family: Bacterial small subunit ribosomal RNA
Source: RNAcentral
CCUACGGGAGGCAGCAGUGAGGAAUAUUGGUCAAUGGACGAGAGUCUGAACCAGCCAAGUAGCGUGAAGGAUGACUGCCCUAUGGGUUGUAAACUUCUUUUAUAUGGGAAUAAAACAGGGUAUGCAUACCCUCUUGUAUGUACCAUAUGAAUAAUGAUCGGCUAAGUCCGUUCCAGCAGCCGCGGUAAUACGGAGGAUCCGAGCGUUAUCCGGAUUUAUUGGGUUUAAAGGGAGCGUAGGUGGAUUGUUAAGUCAGUUGUGAAAGUUUGUGGCUCAACCGUAAAAUUGCAGUUGAAACUGGCAGUCUUGAGUACAGUAGAGGUGGGCGGAAUUCGUGGUGUAGCGGUGAAAUGCUUAGAUAUCACGAAGAACUCCGAUUGCGAAGGCAGCUUACUGGACUGCAACUGACACUGAUGCUCGAAAGUGUGGGUAUCAAACAGGAUUAGAUACCCUUGUAGUC